This 515-nucleotide ribosomal RNA is filed under the name uncultured bacterium. Its description in RNAcentral is "partial 16S ribosomal RNA". It matches the Rfam family "Bacterial small subunit ribosomal RNA", at positions 28 to 523 of the family's 1533-position model. The record is from RNAcentral.
GAUGAACGCUGGCGGCGUGCCUAAUACAUGCAAGUCGAGCGAAUGGAUUAAGAGCUUGCUCUUAUGAAGUUAGCGGCGGACGGGUGAGUAACACGUGGGUAACCUGUCCAUAAGACUGGGAUAACUCCGGGAAACCGGGGCUAAUACCGGAUAACAUUUUGAACCGCAUGGUUCGAAAUUGAAAGCCGGCUUCGACUGUCCCUUCUGGAUGGACCCGCGUCGCAUUAGCGAGUUGGUGAGGUAACGGCUCACCAAGGCAACGAUGCGUAGCCGACCUGAGAGGGUGAUCGGCCACACUGGGACUGAGACACGGCCCAGACUCCUACGGGAGGCAGCAGUAGGGAAUCUUCCGAAAUGGACGAAAGUCUGACGGAGCAACGCCGCGUGAGUGAUGAAGGCUUUCGGGUCGUAAAACUCUGUUGUUAGGGAAGAACAAGUGAUAGUUGAAUAAGCUGGCACCUUGACGGUACCUAACCAGAAAGCCACGGCUAACUACGUGCCAGCAGCCGCAGUAA